This is a non-coding RNA of Pelobates cultripes (western spadefoot toad), 311 nucleotides long. Lineage: Eukaryota; Metazoa; Chordata; Amphibia; Anura; Pelobatidae. The record is from the annotation of a GenBank genome assembly.
UGUGUGUGUGUGUGUCUGUGUGAGUGAGUGUGUCAGUGAGUGUGUGUGAGUGUGUCUGUGUGAGUGUGUGUGUGUCUGUGAGUGUGUGUAUGUGAAUGUGUGUGUGUGUCAGUGUGUGUCUGUGUGUGUCAGUGAGUGUGUGUCUGUGAAUGUAUGUGUGUGUGUGUCAGUGAGUGUAUGGGUGUGUCUGUGUGAGUGUGUGUCUGUGAAUGUGUGUGUCUGUGAGUGUAUGUGUGUGUGUGUCUGAAUGUGUCUGUGAGUGUAUGUGUGUGUGUGUCUGAAUGUGUCUGUGAGUGUGUGUGUGUAUGCAU